Molecule: unclassified non-coding RNA, 349 nt
Filed under: soil metagenome
Description: partial contains 5.8S ribosomal RNA, internal transcribed spacer 2, and large subunit ribosomal RNA
Rfam family: 5.8S ribosomal RNA (bases 1-121)
Source: RNAcentral
GAUGAAGGAACGUAGCGAAAUGCGAUAAGUAAUGUGAAUUGCAGAAUUCAGUGAAUCAUCGAAUCUUUGAACGCACAUUGCGCCCGCCAGUAUUCUGGCGGGCAUGCCUGUCUGAGCGUCAUUUCAACCCUCAUGCCCCUAGGGCGUGGUGUUGGGGAUCGGCCAAAGCCCGCGAGGGACGGCCGGCCCCUAAAUCUAGUGGCGGACCCGUCGUGGCCUCCUCUGCGAAGUAGUGAUAUUCCGCAUCGGAGAGCGAUGAGCCCCUGCCGUUAAACCCCCAACUUUCCAAGGUUGACCUCAGAUCAGGUAGGAAUACCCGCUGAACUUAAGCAUAUCAAUAAGCGGAGGA